Pogoniulus pusillus (Red-fronted tinkerbird) is the source of this 1529-nucleotide long non-coding RNA. RefSeq lists it as uncharacterized. The transcript is spliced from 4 exons. NCBI's taxonomy places the organism in Eukaryota, Metazoa, Chordata, Aves, Piciformes, Lybiidae. The record is from RefSeq and is a predicted model, not a curated record.
GUCACGCAGAGUGACUGGGCAUGCUCUGAUAGCUAGGGGAUAGUUAGUCUUGGGAAGGUGAAAGAUGUGAUUAGGAGUUCUUAGGGAAAUGUUAGCUGAGUGGAUGGCAUUGAUGAAUCUGAAGCAUUCAAGGCCUUAGAGAAGAUUUGGUGAAAUCAGCUAAUUUUGAUCCUGAGGGCAUAAAAGGUCUGUCUUGGUGCCAGAGGCUCAUUAGGGCAAAAUACCUCCAUAAUCAGGAUCCUCUCUGAAUUUCUCUGAAGCUUCCUAUGCAGCAGAGAGCUCUUGCCUACCUAGCAUAUCUUCAGCCAGGUCUGUGGAGUGGACAUUAAUGCCCGUACCCCACUGCCAAACUGUGCUGUAGUGUGACUGUGACUUGAGUAGUUGCGGUCAGAGAAGAGACAACCCUCAGGUUCUGCCACCUGAUGCCAUUUGCUUGAUUAAUCUGCUCAAGUCUGCAAUAAAGGAAGAUUGUGCUGUUUCUGCAUGGAGCUGGAUCACUCUCUUUGUGCAAACCGAUACCCUCUUCCCUGCCCUCAGCCUGGCCGCGGCAGGCAGCAGCAGGAGAGCGGUUGCCUGGGAACUACGCAGCACAACCUGGUGGGAGAAACAGUAGGCUCAGAUAUGAAGGAAAAAAGACCAUCAGUUCACAGAGCUACAUACCUCUCCAGUGAAGGAAUAGCAUUAAGCUCAUUUAUUCUCCCACACUGCCUCAGAAGAACUGAAAACACAGGAAUCCGCCUCAGAAGAACUGAAAACACAGGAAUUUGAGGAACAGUCUUGCGUUUGUGUGGGCUUCCCUGGUGCCAUUUCCCAAUAUUGCAUUUUACGCAGUUACAACAUGAGACCAUACAGGACUGUCAUGUUGAACUACACAGAACAAACCAAAUCUGUUUUGCUAGCCUGGCCUUCUGAAGUUGGCUCUUUUCUCUUCUGGCGCCAGCCACUUACUUCAUCAGCUGAUUAAAAGGGGUAACCUAGAACACAAGUUUGGAUCAAGCAAAGUAUAAGAGUUCAGAAACUGAAUGGAAGUGUAUAUUAAGACUUGGCUGUACUGAUCUGCAAAUGGUUUGAAUCUCGAGUUUCAUACCAUGAGACUUUCCAUAGCAUACACUUUACAGAGAGCAUAAGAAAAACUGUAAUGAAAAAAGCACUUUCUGCUCUCUUAAACACAAGUGUUGGUAAGAAAAACAGAUGUAUGAGGGCACUGGGAACUGCCUCGUGAAUUGUCUGAAAGCCAAGCUAGACCCAAUCUCUUUGAACCUUUUAUUUCAAUGAGUAGUUCAGCAAAUUGGAAACAUUCACAAAAAAAAUUAUUUCUUCACAAAUAACAGCAAAAGAGUAGGAGAAAAAAACAACACACAACAAUUAUUUUUUUUCGGUCAUUGUUUGAUUGUAUUUUUUAAAUGUAAAUAUUGUUCACUACAACAAUAAAAAUCAUCAGUUGUAGUCACUGAGUCCCAAACCAGUAAAUAACUUCAAUGACUGAGCAGUUAUCUGGUUCCUUUGGAAAUAAUGUUGAGCUGGUGUUU